Molecule: ribosomal RNA, 852 nt
Filed under: Cladosporium sp.
Lineage: Eukaryota; Fungi; Ascomycota; Dothideomycetes; Cladosporiales; Cladosporiaceae
Description: partial large subunit ribosomal RNA
Rfam family: Eukaryotic large subunit ribosomal RNA
Source: RNAcentral
CAACAGGGAUUGCUCUAGUAACGGCGAGUGAAGCAGCAAUAGCUCAAAUUUGAAAUCUGGCGUCUUCGACGUCCGAGUUGUAAUUUGUAGAGGAUGCUUCUGAGUAACCACCGACCUAAGUUCCUUGGAACAGGACGUCAUAGAGGGUGAGAAUCCCGUAUGCGGUCGGAAAGGUGCUCUACACGUAGCUCCUUCGACGAGUCGAGUUGUUUGGGAAUGCAGCUCUAAAUGGGAGGUAAAUUUCUUCUAAAGCUAAAUAUUGGCCAGAGACCGAUAGCGCACAAGUAGAGUGAUCGAAAGAUGAAAAGCACUUUGGAAAGAGAGUUAAAAAGCACGUGAAAUUGUUAAAAGGGAAGGGAUUGCAACCAGACUUGCUCGCGGUGUUCCGCCGGUCUUCUGACCGGUCUACUCGCCGCGUUGCAGGCCAGCAUCGUCUGGUGCCGCUGGAUAAGACUUGAGGAAUGUAGCUCCCUCGGGAGUGUUAUAGCCUCUUGUGAUGCAGCGAGCGCCGGGCGAGGUCCGCGCUUCGGCUAGGAUGCUGGCGUAAUGGUCGUAAUCCGCCCGUCUUGAAACACGGACCAAGGAGUCUAACAUCUAUGCGAGUGUUCGGGUGUCAAACCCCUACGCGUAAUGAAAGUGAACGGAGGUGAGAACCGCAAGGUGCAUCAUCGACCGAUCCUGAUGUCUUCGGAUGGAUUUGAGUAAGAGCAUAGCUGUUGGGACCCGAAAGAUGGUGAACUAUGCCUGAAUAGGGUGAAGCCAGAGGAAACUCUGGUGGAGGCUCGCAGCGGUUCUGACGUGCAAAUCGAUCGUCAAAUUUGGGUAUAGGGGCGAAAGACUAAUCGAACCAUC